Non-coding RNA from Dermatophagoides farinae (American house dust mite), 1194 nucleotides. NCBI's taxonomy places the organism in Eukaryota, Metazoa, Arthropoda, Arachnida, Sarcoptiformes, Pyroglyphidae. The record is from RefSeq and is a predicted model, not a curated record.
UAUUAUAUUGUAAUGGUUAUUGGCUGGUGGCGCCGCCAAUGGUGAGCGGUGAUAUUAACACGUGAAGUGUGUAAUGUUUUUAUAUUUUGUAAGUUGCUAUUUGACUGUCAUUGAAUAAAGUCAUAUUUUUGUAGAUUUGAAAAUAAUUCUUGCAUUUAUUUGUGUGAUUGCAAAUGAUAAUACAUUACAAUAUAAAACUAUGCAGACUUCCAGGUAUGUGUUUUGUUCGUUGCUAUGUAGCAUAUUAUUAUCAUCAUCAUCAUUAUUAUUAUUAUUAUCUACAUUGGUUGAUCCACGUUAAACAACCGGCCAAUUUUUUGAACUUGAGAAAGAAAAAAAAUUCCAAAUUAUAUAGAAUGAAUACAAUCUGUGAUUUUAUCAGCGACAAUUUUUCAAAGACGACAAGAUCGAUGAAAAACAUCAUCAUUACAAUGUAACUUUGUGCAAAAUCAUUUAGACACAUGUAUAGAGUCUAGACAACGAAUGUUUUUCAUAGUAUAAAUACUAGGUUUAAAAAUUACCAUUCACAUUGAAUCUUCUAUAUUCUAUGUAAUGUCGACAAUUUUCAUGAAGAAUAAAAUAAAAGAAGCUAAACUAAGAAUACAUCUGAGUGGCGUUGAUCCCAAAUACCGUUGGAACAUUCCAACUACGACAACACACUCUGAAUGCUCAACUAUGGCAACGAUCCAUUUUCAUUGGCAUCAACUAAAUGUUUGUGCAUUGUACUCUGACAGUGUAACGUAUGCUGUUUUUUGAAUUCAGGCAUCGAACUCAUGGUGAGUUUUAUCAUCAUCAUCAUCAUUAGCAAUACCAAAAGCCCAUAUGAAAGUUUUCAGUCCGGAUUUUUUUUUGUGGAACCAUCAUCGAAUCAGCAGCAACAGUAAAUAGCUAUAGCUGUUUGGUUACCCUAAUUAUAUCCAAAUAUAUACAUCAAGCCCAGAAGUUCAUAGUAGCAGCCAUAUCAUUAUCAUGAUUACAUAUUGAAUUAUAGUAGUCAAAAGUUUUUUCCCAUUCAGCCAAAAUCACUGCUUGUCUUGGGUGUGUAAUGAUAAUGAACACAUUCUUUAAGAUUUGUUGCCAUUGAAAGACUGUGGUUAACUGUAUUAUUUAAAUUUUUCACAUGAAAAUUAUCGCUAAAAUUCAAAAAAAAAAAUUCCGUAUUUUUUUGUGACAUGUUCAAAUCCUAUUCAAAUA